GCCCAGGUGGUGAAAUGGCAUACACGAUAGGUUUAGGACCUAUUGCCCGUAAGGGCGUGGAGGUUCAACUCCUCUCCUGGGCACCA
RNAcentral lists this transfer RNA (86 nucleotides) under Candidatus Daviesbacteria bacterium RIFCSPHIGHO2_02_FULL_41_14. Its description in RNAcentral is "tRNA-Leu". It matches the Rfam family "tRNA". Rfam says of the family: Transfer RNA (tRNA) molecules are approximately 80 nucleotides in length. Their secondary structure includes four short double-helical elements and three loops (D, anti-codon, and T loops). Further hydrogen bonds mediate the characteristic L-shaped molecular structure. tRNAs have two regions of fundamental functional importance: the anti-codon, which is responsible for specific mRNA codon recognition, and the 3' end, to which the tRNAs corresponding amino acid is attached (by aminoacyl-tRNA synthetases). tRNAs cope with the degeneracy of the genetic code in two manners: having more than one tRNA (with a specific anti-codon) for a particular amino acid; and 'wobble' base-pairing, i.e. permitting non-standard base-pairing at the 3rd anti-codon position. Lineage: Bacteria; Candidatus Daviesiibacteriota. The record is from RNAcentral.